AUUGAACGCUGGCGGCAGGCCUAACACAUGCAAGUCGAACGAGUGGCGGACGGGUGAGUAAUGUCUGGGAAACUGCCUGAUGGAGGGGGAUAACUACUGGAAACGGUAGCUAAUACCGCAUACCAUCAGAUGUGCCCAGAUGGGAUUAGCUAGUUGGUGGGGUGACGGGUCACCAAGGCUACGAUCCCUAGCUGGUCUGCGAGGAUGACCAGCCGCACUGUAACUGAGAGACGGUCCAGACUCCUACGAGAGGCAGGGGUGGGGAAUAUUGCACAAUGGGAGCAAGCCUGAUGCAGCCAUGCCGCGUGUAUGAAGAAGUCCUUCGGGUUGUAGAGUACUUUCAGCGGGGAGGGGUUAGCCGCAGAAGAAGCACCGGCUAACUCCGUGCCAGCAGCCGCGGUAAUUC
RNAcentral lists this ribosomal RNA (406 nucleotides) under uncultured bacterium. Its description in RNAcentral is "partial 16S ribosomal RNA". It matches the Rfam family "Bacterial small subunit ribosomal RNA", at positions 30 to 526 of the family's 1533-position model. The record is from RNAcentral.